RNAcentral lists this ribosomal RNA (256 nucleotides) under uncultured bacterium. RNAcentral describes it as "partial 16S ribosomal RNA". It matches the Rfam family "Bacterial small subunit ribosomal RNA", at positions 334 to 604 of the family's 1533-position model. The record is from RNAcentral.
UUGGCCUACGGGGCGCAGCAGUGGGGAAUAUUGGGCAAUGGGCGCAAGCCUGACCCAGCAACGCCGCGUGAAGGAAGAAGGCUUUCAGGUUGUAAACUUCUUUUCUUGGGGACGAAGAGAGUGACGGUACCCAAGGAAUAAGCCACGGCUAACUACGUGCCAGCAGCCGCGGUAAUACGUAGGUGGCAAGCGUUAUCCGGAUUUAUUGGGUGUAAAGUGCGUGUAGGCGGGAUUGCAAGUCAGAUGUUAAAACAAC